UACAGAGGUCUCAAGCGUUGUUCGGAUUCAUUGGGCGUAAAGGGUGCGUAGGCGGCGCGGUAAGUCGGGUGUGAAAUCUUGGAGCUUAACUCCGAAACUGCGUUCGAUACUGCCGUGCUUGAGGACUGGAGAGGAGACUGGAAUUUACGGUGUAGCGGUGAAAUGCGUAGAUAUCGUAAGGAAGACCAGUGGCGAAGGCGGGUCUCUGGACAGUUCCUGACGCUGAGGCACGAAGGCCAGGGGAGCAAACGGG
RNAcentral lists this ribosomal RNA (253 nucleotides) under uncultured bacterium. RNAcentral's name for it is "partial 16S ribosomal RNA". It matches the Rfam family "Bacterial small subunit ribosomal RNA", at positions 524 to 776 of the family's 1533-position model. The record is from RNAcentral.